Molecule: signal recognition particle RNA, 98 nt
Filed under: Zetaproteobacteria bacterium
Lineage: Bacteria; Pseudomonadati; Pseudomonadota; Candidatius Mariprofundia
Description: signal recognition particle sRNA small type
Rfam family: Bacterial small signal recognition particle RNA
About the family: The signal recognition particle (SRP) is a universally conserved ribonucleoprotein involved in the co-translational targeting of proteins to membranes. Archaeal SRP consists of a 7S RNA and homologues of the eukaryotic SRP19 and SRP54 proteins. In most bacteria, the SRP consists of a 4.5S RNA and the Ffh protein (a homologue of the eukaryotic SRP54 protein).
Source: RNAcentral
GGUCGGGCCCCGCACGAUAAGGACCCGCAAACCCCGUCAGGUCCGGAAGGAAGCAGCGGUAGCGGGAACCCUGUGCGUUGCGGAUCCGUCCGGCCCGG